UCACUCGACUCUACUACUGCCAGGAGGAGGAGAUCCCAGAGCUCGAAAUCGAUGUGGAUGAACUCUUGGACAUGGAAAGUGAUGAUACUCGGGCUGCUAGAGUCAAGGAGCUGCUAGUUAACUGCUACAAACCCACUGAGGCCUUCAUCUCUGGCCUGCUGGAUAAGAUCCGGGGCAUGCAGAAGCUGAGCACACCCCAGAAGAAGUAAGGGUCCUGACUCAGAUGACCAUGGCUCCCACAGGACAAUCGCUGCCCCCCAACCUCGUAGCAACAGCAAUACUGGGGGACCCUGCAGCCAGGCCUGGUGCCAUGGGCAGGGAUCCCUGUGCCCCGCCUAGGGGCCGUUCCCUCGCCCUCAGUUUUCCAUUUUGGGUUUUUUUAUUGUUAUUAAACUGAUGGGACUUUAAAA
Molecule: long non-coding RNA, 410 nt
Filed under: Rattus norvegicus (Norway rat)
Lineage: Eukaryota; Metazoa; Chordata; Mammalia; Rodentia; Muridae
Description: long non-coding RNA NONRATT008625
Source: RNAcentral